This 254-nucleotide ribosomal RNA is filed under the name uncultured bacterium. RNAcentral's name for it is "partial 16S ribosomal RNA". It matches the Rfam family "Bacterial small subunit ribosomal RNA", at positions 524 to 776 of the family's 1533-position model. The record is from RNAcentral.
UACGAAGGGGGCUAGCGUUGUUCGGAAUCACUGGGCGUAAAGCGCACGCAGGCGGAUCGUUAAGUCAGGGGUGAAAUCCCGAGGCUCAACCUCGGAACUGCCUUUGAUACUGGCGAUCUUUGAGUCCGGGAGAGGUGAGUGGAACUCCGAGUGUAGAGGUGAAAUUCGUAGAUAUUCGGAGGAACACCAGUGGCGAAGGCGGCUUCCUGGCCCGAAUCUGACGCUGAGGUGCGAAAGCGUGGGGAGCGAUCCGG